This 253-nucleotide ribosomal RNA is filed under the name uncultured bacterium. Its description in RNAcentral is "partial 16S ribosomal RNA". It matches the Rfam family "Bacterial small subunit ribosomal RNA", at positions 524 to 776 of the family's 1533-position model. The record is from RNAcentral.
UACGAAGGGGGCUAGCGUUGUUCGGAAUUACUGGGCGUAAAGCGCACGUAGGCGGACAUUUAAGUCAGGGGUGAAAUCCCAGAGCUCAACUCUGGAACUGCCUUUGAUACUGGGUGUCUUGAGUAUGGAAGAGGUGAGUGGAAUUCCGAGUGUAGAGGUGAAAUUCGUAGAUAUUCGGAGGAACACCAGUGGCGAAGGCGGCUCACUGGUCCAUUACUGACGCUGAGGUGCGAAAGCGUGGGGAGCGAACGGG